RNAcentral lists this long non-coding RNA (1789 nucleotides) under Equus asinus (donkey). Its description in RNAcentral is "lncRNA (ENSEASG00005028074.1)". The record is from RNAcentral. Lineage: Eukaryota; Metazoa; Chordata; Mammalia; Perissodactyla; Equidae.
AGAACCUCUCAGUGAGGGGAAGAAACAGACUAAGAGUAGGCUCAUACCGCACUCUUCUACCAACUGACAAUACUUUUAAAAUACAAAACAAGAUUAGCUCAGCCAGUUAAUCUUUUUAUUUUGAGUUUUGUAAAAAAAAAAAAAAAAAUCCUUGAGAAAAAAUGUGUUAAAUAUCAGUAAAGAGCAGGAAAACAUGUGGCUAGCUUUACGCUAUCAAGCUAAACAUAUACACAAAGGCGAACAUUAAGUAAAAUACUAGGGAAAGGUAGCACGUUGGGGCCUAACUGCAGUUUUCCUUAUUGCACAGAAAGAUUGCUGAUAACUCCAAGUCUUCACUUUUUCACAGUUAAACAUACUUUACUAUUAUUUUAUCUAACAUGAUUUAUAUAACAUAACGUUAAUUGUAUAAAACCACCAGUUUGCUACUGUCGAAUGCAAGUAGAAGACAACGUUCUUCCCAAUUGCAGUAUGUAAGCUCUCUAUAAAAAGUUCCCCAGAUCACAUCAUCCCCUGUUAAAUUCAUCCUAUUUAAAAAAUUGCUUUUCAGCUAUUAAAUGAAUCUUGGUGGCCUUCUCACUUAAUCAUUUUAAUGGACAUAGUAAAACUUCCUAAGAAGUACCAGAUGUAUUUUAUGUAAAAAAUAAAAAGACAACCUAGGAGGAGGUGAGGCUACCAUGAAGUCACACUUUGAGUGAUUUCAGUGAUAAAUCCCAAAUCCACAGACUUAAGACCCACACAACUGAAAAGCAUUCCUCUGCUUCUCGAAAGCCCACAACUGGAAUAAAUAAUCACAGCGAGGCUCAGCCCCCAGAUGCCCAUCAGCUGGAUAGCGCCCCAGUAACGCUGGCAUCUGAACUUUUUUAAGUGCUUUAGACAGCAGAUGUAGAGUUCUUCACGCUGUUUACAAGUCCUUUUCUGAGUUCCUCCACCAUACACAGGCCCAGAUAAUUUUCCACCGGCCAAGAGUCAAACUGACUGUGACAUUGGGUAAUUCUGUUAACCCUUUUUAAAAGGUGGCCAUCAGAAAUGAGAAGUGACCUCAGACCUUUUCAAAAGGUAGAACAAGCAGGCCUGCCUUCUCAUCUUCUCCAAGGCAUGUGGAGCUGAAAACUGGCGGCCUGUACAUUCCAUGUGGGCCGUGGUUACAGUAUACCCUGCUUACCAAAAUAAAACUGAUAUCGAGAACUUUGGUUUUGCUCUUUAAAGUUUCUGCUAGCACUGGGUGACAAGAUGUGUUUGUUAACUAAAAAAAACUACUUAUAAAAAUUGAAACUGGAAAAUAAUGGUUUAUUUCUAGGUCUUGCUUUGAAAGGAUUGUCAAAGAGCCUCCUUGCUUCUCCUAUUAGACACUAGCAUUGGUUUCUAGAGCAUUUCUCUGCACACUGUGGUCAUUCGGGUUUAGAAAGGGGGGAAGUCUUUUCAGGUGUGAAAGCCGUGAAAGCAGCAUUCACAUGGGUUUGUUUCUAAACUCUAACUCUUGGCCACCAGAUUCCUUCAAUCUCCUGUGUCAGCACACAGCAGCUGACGCUGGCAGGCCAGGUUCUCACUUAAAAAACAAGAUAAGAGAUCAGAAUUCAAUGAUAGCAGCCUUAUGCAUUUGACAGACUAGCUCCCCCACUAACUCAUCUACAGAAUCAACAGCAAACAGCAGGCACGAAACUUGUCAAGUUCCCCAUUUCUCAAGUGGAAGAAGUCAUGCUUAUGAAAUCAGCAAGCUGACUUUCCAGCAGCCCUCAUUCCACAUAGCAUUUUACAGCAGAUGGUAAAAUCAGCUUCUGACACACCUCUU